UACAGAGGGCGCGAGCGUUGUCCGGAUUUACUGGGCGUAAAGGGCGUGCAGGCGGUUUGUUAAGUCUAGGGUGAAAGCUCCCGGCUCAACUGGGAGAGGUCCUUGGAUACUGGCAGACUUGAGGAGGGUAGAGGAGAGUGGAAUUCCCGGUGUAGUGGUGAUAUGCGUAGAUAUCGGGAGGAACACCAGUGGCGAAGGCGGCUCUCUGGGCCCUACCUGACGCUGAGACGCGAAAGCGUGGGGAGCGAACCGG
RNAcentral lists this ribosomal RNA (253 nucleotides) under uncultured bacterium. RNAcentral's name for it is "partial 16S ribosomal RNA". It matches the Rfam family "Bacterial small subunit ribosomal RNA", at positions 524 to 776 of the family's 1533-position model. The record is from RNAcentral.